GAUGAACGCUGGCGGCGUGCCUAAUACAUGCAAGUCGAGCGAACGGACGAGAAGCUUGCUUCUCUGAUGUUAGCGGCGGACGGGUGAGUAACACGUGGAUAACCUACCUAUAAGACUGGGAUAACUUCGGGAAACCGGAGCUAAUACCGGAUAAUAUUUUGAACCGCAUGGUUCAAAAGUGAAAGACGGUCUUGCUGUCACUUAUAGAUGGAUCCGCGCUGCAUUAGCUAGUUGGUAAGGUAACGGCUCACCAAGGCAACGAUGCAUAGCCGACCUGAGAGGGUGAUCGGCCACACUGGAACUGAGACACGGUCCAGACUCCUACGGGAGGCAGCAGUAGGGAAUCUUCCGCAAUGGGCGAAAGCCUGACGGAGCAACGCCGCGUGAGUGAUGAAGGUCUUCGGAUCGUAAAACUCUGUUAUUAGGGAAGAACAUAUGUGUAAGUAACUGUGCACAUCUUGACGGUACCUAAUCAGAAAGCCACGGCUAACUACGUGCCAGCAGCCGCGGUAAUACGUAGGUGGCAAGCGUUAUCCGGAAUUAUUGGGCGUAAAGCGCGCGUAGGCGGUUUUUUAAGUCUGAUGUGAAAGCCCACGGCUCAACCGUGGAGGGUCAUUGGAAACUGGAAAACUUGAGUGCAGAAGAGGAAAGUGGAAUUCCAUGUGUAGCGGUGAAAUGCGCAGAGAUAUGGAGGAACACCAGUGGCGAAGGCGACUUUCUGGUCUGUAACUGACGCUGAUGUGCGAAAGCGUGGGGAUCAAACAGGAUUAGAUACCCUGGUAGUCCACGCCGUAAUCGAUGAGUGCUAAGUGUUAGGGGGUUUCCGCCCCUUAGUGCUGCAGCUAACGCAUUAAGCACUCCGCCUGGGGAGUACGACCGCAAGGUUGAAACUCAAAGGAAUUGACGGGGACCCGCACAAGCGGUGGAGCAUGUGGUUUAAUUCGAAGCAACGCGAAGAACCUUACCAAAUCUUGACAUCCUUUGACAACUCUAGAGAUAGAGCCUUCCCCUUCGGGGGACAAAGUGACAGGUGGUGCAUGGUUGUCGUCAGCUCGUGUCGUGAGAUGUUGGGUUAAGUCCCGCAACGAGCGCAACCCUUAAGCUUAGUUGCCAUCAUUAAGUUGGGCACUCUAAGUUGACUGCCGGUGACAAACCGGAGGAAGGUGGGGAUGACGUCAAAUCAUCAUGCCCCUUAUGAUUUGGGCUACACACGUGCUACAAUGGACAAUACAGAGGGCAGCGAAACCGCGAGGUCAAGCAAAUCCCAUAAAGUUGUUCUCAGUUCGGAUUGUAGUCUGCAACUCGACUACAUGAAGCUGGAAUCGCUAGUAAUCGUAGAUCAGCAUGCUACGGUGAAUACGUUCCCGGGUCU
Molecule: ribosomal RNA, 1372 nt
Filed under: uncultured bacterium
Lineage: Bacteria
Description: bacterial SSU rRNA
Rfam family: Bacterial small subunit ribosomal RNA
Source: RNAcentral